AGUGAACGCUGGCGGUAGGCCUAACACAUGCAAGUCGAACGGCAGCACAGUAAGAGCUUGCUCUUACGGGUGGCGAGUGGCGGACGGGUGAGGAAUACAUCGGAAUCUACUUUUUCGUGGGGGAUAACGUAGGGAAACUUACGCUAAUACCGCAUACGACCUACGGGUGAAAGCAGGGGAUCUUCGGACCUUGCGCGAUUGAAUGAGCCGAUGUCGGAUUAGCUAGUUGGCGGGGUAAAGGCCCACCAAGGCGACGAUCCGUAGCUGGUCUGAGAGGAUGAUCAGCCACACUGGAACUGAGACACGGUCCAGACUCCUACGGGAGGCAGCAGUGGGGAAUAUUGGACAAUGGGCGCAAGCCUGAUCCAGCCAUACCGCGUGGGUGAAGAAGGCCUUCGGGUUGUAAAGCCCUGUUGUUGGGAAAGAAAAGCAGCAGGUGAAUACCCCGCUGUUCUGACGGUACCCAAAGAAUAAGCACCGGCUGACUUCGUG
This 492-nucleotide ribosomal RNA is filed under the name uncultured bacterium. RNAcentral's name for it is "partial 16S ribosomal RNA". It matches the Rfam family "Bacterial small subunit ribosomal RNA", at positions 29 to 507 of the family's 1533-position model. The record is from RNAcentral.